AUUUAGCAUCGUACUUACACGUUUUCGGUUGGGGCGACCCUGGAGAAAAACCUAACCUCCAUGCUGUUAAAUAUAUGAACCUCAAUUCUACAAUCAACAUAUUGACACAAUUGACCCAAACAUUUGAUCAACGAACCAAAGUUACCCCUAGGGAUAAACAGCGCCAUCCCACUUUCAAGAGUACAUAUCCUACAAAGUGGGCCUUACGACCCUCGGAUG
This 219-nucleotide ribosomal RNA is filed under the name Craugastor podiciferus (Cerro Utyum robber frog). Its description in RNAcentral is "partial 16S ribosomal RNA". The record is from RNAcentral. Lineage: Eukaryota; Metazoa; Chordata; Amphibia; Anura; Craugastoridae.